CAUCCUCCAAGGCUAAAUACUCCUGACUGACCGAUAGUGAACCAGUACCGUGAGGGAAAGGCGAAAAGAACCCCGGCGAGGGGAGUGAAAAAGAACCUGAAACCGUGUACGUACAAGCAGUGGGAGCCUCUUUAUGGGGUGACUGCGUACCUUUUGUAUAAUGGGUCAGCGACUUAUAUUCUGUAGCAAGGUUAACCGAAUAGGGGAGCCGAAGGGAAACCGAGUCUUAACUGGGCGUUAAGUUGCAGGGUAUAGACCCGAAACCCGGUGAUCUAGCCAUGGGCAGGUUGAAGGUUGGGUAACACUAACUGGAGGACCGAACCGACUAAUGUUGAAAAAUUAGCGGAUGACUUGUGGCUGGGGGUGAAAGGCCAAUCAAACCGGGAGAUAGCUGGUUCUCCCCGAAAGCUAUUUAGGUAGCGCCUCGUGAACUCAUCUCCGGGGGUAGAGCACUGUUUCGGCAAGGGGGUCAUCCCGACUUACCAACCCGAUGCAAACUGCGAAUACCGGAGAAUGUUAUCACGGGAGACACACGGCGGGUGCUAACGUCCGUCGUGAAGAGGGAAACAACCCAGACCGCCAGCUAAGGUCCCAAAGUCAUGGUUAAGUGGGAAACGAUGUGGGAAGGCCCAGACAGCCAGGAUGUUGGCUUAGAAGCAGCCAUCAUUUAAAGAAAGCGUAAUAGCUCACUGGUCGAGUCGGCCUGCGCGGAAGAUGUAACGGGGCUAAACCAUGCACCGAAGCUGCGGCAGCGACGCUUAUGCGUUGUUGGGUAGGGGAGCGUUCUGUAAGCCUGCGAAGGUGUACUGUGAGGUAUGCUGGAGGUAUCAGAAGUGCGAAUGCUGACAUAAGUAACGAUAAAGCGGGUGAAAAGCCCGCUCGCCGGAAGACCAAGGGUUCCUGUCCAACGUUAAUCGGGGCAGGGUGAGUCGACCCCUAAGGCGAGGCCGAAAGGCGUAGUCGAUGGGAAACAGGUUAAUAUUCCUGUACUUGGUGUUACUGCGAAGGGGGGACGGAGAAGGCUAUGUUGGCCGGGCGACGGUUGUCCCGGUUUAAGCGUGUAGGCUGGUUUUCCAGGCAAAUCCGGAAAAUCAAGGCUGAGGCGUGAUGACGAGGCACUACGGUGCUGAAGCAACAAAUGCCCUGCUUCCAGGAAAAGCCUCUAAGCAUCAGGUAACAUCAAAUCGUACCCCAAACCGACACAGGUGGUCAGGUAGAGAAUACCAAGGCGCUUGAGAGAACUCGGGUGAAGGAACUAGGCAAAAUGGUGCCGUAACUUCGGGAGAAGGCACGCUGAUAUGUAGGUGAAGUCCCUUGCGGAUGGAGCUGAAAUCAGUCGAAGAUACCAGCUGGCUGCAACUGUUUAUUAAAAACACAGCACUGUGCAAACACGAAAGUGGACGUAUACGGUGUGACGCCUGCCCGGUGCCGGAAGGUUAAUUGAUGGGGUUAGCGGUAACGCGAAGCUCUUGAUCGAAGCCCCGGUAAACGGCGGCCGUAACUAUAACGGUCCUAAGGUAGCGAAAUUCCUUGUCGGGUAAGUUCCGACCUGCACGAAUGGCGUAAUGAUGGCCAGGCUGUCUCCACCC
This 1589-nucleotide ribosomal RNA is filed under the name human gut metagenome. Its description in RNAcentral is "bacterial LSU rRNA". It matches the Rfam family "Bacterial large subunit ribosomal RNA", at positions 454 to 2027 of the family's 2925-position model. The record is from RNAcentral.